Non-coding RNA from Pelobates cultripes (western spadefoot toad), 289 nucleotides. NCBI's taxonomy places the organism in Eukaryota, Metazoa, Chordata, Amphibia, Anura, Pelobatidae. The record is from the annotation of a GenBank genome assembly.
GUUUUACCCUAGUUGGAUCCAUCGUGUGCUUGCUCUAUGGCAGUCAGUGUAGUUUGAAUUGAUGGGUAGAGGGUGAAUUGUCAGGGAUACAUAGAGAAAGUAUCCAGAUUGGAAAUCUAAUGGGUCUAAUGAAUGGAUCUUGCGAGUUUUGCAUAAAAUGAGAAAUUGACUUUGAAUAGCUGGUAGUUAAUUUUAGUGAAUGUUUAGUUUGCAAGUAGGCCGAAUCCCUAAACCGUGAAUUAAAAUCCAGAUGACGAAAUCCAGGGUAAUAAAUAGCCGAGCAGCGGCC